ACAUCGCGUCGCCACACCUCGACUCUCCUCCGCUCUCCCAUCUGACCCCCCUCCUGCCUACUGCCCCCUCUCUCCUCGUCCGCUGUGCUGCGUCGUCUGGCGCCCACCCCCACCCCCACCCCUGCCGUGACCUCUCCCCUCUUCCUCGGCGCCGCCCUUCUCAGUCUCUCGCUCUUGUCCCUUCUCGCCCAUGAAGUACAAUAUCCCACUCAUUCUCUACGUGGUGCUCCAGUUCGUGGCGUUCUUCUUCGUGCUGGUGGGAACUCCGCUGGACAUCUUCCGCGACAAAUCACCAAACGGGUUCGGUAAGUUUCCCUGCUUUACGUUGUGGGGAAUUCUGUUUAAUUGCACACCGGGUGAUAAAAUGGAAGGAAUCGAUGCGUAUUCAGGGUGCCCUCUGCGCAUGCACCAAUUCCGCGCUGCAGAGGCUUUUGUCAUCAUCUCCAUCGUCGUGUACGGCGCAGCGUUCAUUCUUGGAUUGAUUUUGCUGUUUUGCUGCCCUGUGCUCCGCCGGGUCUGCCUGACGCUCAACAUCGUUGGCGUGGUCACCUUGUGCGUUGUUUGGGCAUUGGUGGUGGAAAUGUACUACAAAGAUGCUAAUCCACGUUGCGAGAAAUUUAAGGAAGGGGCAUCUUAUAGCUCCGCCUUCGUUCUCUUUGUGCUGGCCUGGAUACUGGAUGUCAUCAACAUUUUCUUGCUGCUCCUUCCCUUCGCUGGCGUGGACGCUGGAGCGAAUCGAAGGGCAGAGCUGCCGACCGCGAAGUAGAAUGGAGGUAGUAGGAGGAGACGGAGGGCGAGCUUGACAGCGGCGCGGCCCCUCCCCCACACCGGCGUCCUCGUGGUGGAGCCGGUGUCGGCGACGAUGAGGGUGCGCAAGCUGCGGGUUCCCGUGUGUGCCCUUCGCCGGCCCAGCCCUCUCGCUGCCCUGUCCUUCGUGCAUGCGUGUGCGGCACGCCGUGCACCGGGACAGCUGCCGAGGGGUGGUUGCGGCACUUCCUCCAGGAGUGCUGAUGGCACACGGCGCCUGUAUGCGUGUGUGUCUGUGUGCAGGCGCCCCCUGCGACCCUCCUCCCUCUUCUUCCGUGAGCGGCCCCCUCGACCGCGCCCCUCCCUCGCCUACGCUGCCGUUGCUCGCGCGUCUCUGUUUUCGUGCGUUGUUCGCGGGUGCCGCCGCACGCUCUCGCGCUCCUUGACGCUCGUUUCUCUUUCGGGUUCUGCGAUGCUUGCUGUUCUCUCCUCCGCGCAG
Molecule: unclassified non-coding RNA, 1246 nt
Filed under: Leishmania donovani
Lineage: Eukaryota; Euglenozoa; Kinetoplastea; Trypanosomatida; Trypanosomatidae
Description: gene:LdHU3.34.2920(CDS-product:amastin-like_surfa ce_protein_putative)
Source: RNAcentral